GUCCCCGUAGAUUAGUGGUUAGAUCAUCACGUUGUGGUUUGCUAAGCGCAUCCGUGGAGACCCAGGCUCGACUCCUGGCAGGGACA
RNAcentral lists this transfer RNA (86 nucleotides) under Lentinula lateritia. RNAcentral describes it as "tRNA-His". It matches the Rfam family "tRNA". From Rfam's summary of the family: Transfer RNA (tRNA) molecules are approximately 80 nucleotides in length. Their secondary structure includes four short double-helical elements and three loops (D, anti-codon, and T loops). The record is from RNAcentral. Lineage: Eukaryota; Fungi; Basidiomycota; Agaricomycetes; Agaricales; Omphalotaceae.